This 435-nucleotide ribosomal RNA is filed under the name uncultured bacterium. RNAcentral's name for it is "partial 16S ribosomal RNA". It matches the Rfam family "Bacterial small subunit ribosomal RNA", at positions 29 to 507 of the family's 1533-position model. The record is from RNAcentral.
AGCGAACGCUGGCGGCAGGCUUAACACAUGCAAGUCGAGCGGGCACUUUCGGGUGUCAGCGGCGGACGGGUGAGUAACGCGUGGGAACGUGCCCUCUGGUUCGGAAUAACUCAGGGAAACUUGAGCUAAUACCGGAUACGCCCUUUUGGGGAAAGGCUUGCUGCCGGAGGAUCGGCCCGCGUCUGAUUAGCUAGUUGGUGAGGUAACGGCUCACCAAGGCGACGAUCAGUAGCUGGUCUGAGAGGAUGAUCAGCCACACUGGGACUGAGACACGGCCCAGACUCCUACGGGAGGCAGCAGCGGGGAAUAUUGGACAAUGGGCGCAAGCCUGAUCCAGCCAUGCCGCGUGAGUGAUGAAGGCCUUAGGGUUGUAAAGCUCUUUUAUCCGGGACGAUAAUGACGGUACCGGAGGAAUAAGCCCCGGCUAACUUCGUG